This 396-nucleotide ribosomal RNA is filed under the name uncultured fungus. Its description in RNAcentral is "eukaryotic LSU rRNA". The stretch from base 1 to 124 matches the Rfam family "5.8S ribosomal RNA", at positions 30 to 154 of the family's 154-position model. Lineage: Eukaryota; Fungi. The record is from RNAcentral.
GCAUCGAUGAAGAACGCAGCUAGCUCCGAGAAGUAAUGUGAAUUGCAGGACACAUUGAGCAUCGAUAAUCUGAACGCGUAUUGCGGCCUCGGGUAAUCCUGGGGCCACGUCCGUCUCAGGGUCUUUAACACACCGAUCCUUUCAACUUGUUGAAAGUGCCUGCGAUUCGUUUCUUUAUUAGAAGCGUAUCGUCAAAGACAGCUGGUCUGGCGAUUUCACAGCUGAAGCGUGAGCAGCCUGCUGGCCUCGGGUGAGGUAGCAACGACGGUAGGUGCUAAUGCUUUAAGUAAAGAAUUCAAAAGGCCGACGUACAAAGCGCAUGUAGUAAUACAUCAACUUUAACCUGAGAUCGGGCGGGACGACCCGCUGAACUUAAGCAUAUCAAUAAGCGGAGGA